RNAcentral lists this ribosomal RNA (253 nucleotides) under uncultured bacterium. Its description in RNAcentral is "partial 16S ribosomal RNA". It matches the Rfam family "Bacterial small subunit ribosomal RNA", at positions 524 to 776 of the family's 1533-position model. The record is from RNAcentral.
GACGAAGGGGGCAAGCGUUGUUCGGAAUUACUGGGCGUAAAGCGCGUGUAGGUGGUUGUCAUAGUCAGGUGUGAAAGCCUUGAGCUCAACUCAAGAAAUGCACUUGAUACUGGGCAGCUAGAGGACCGGAGAGGAUAGUGGAAUUCCCAGUGUAGUGGUGAAAUACGUAGAGAUUGGGAAGAACACCAGUGGCGAAGGCGGCUAUCUGGACGGUUUCUGACACUAAGACUCGAAAGCGUGGGGAGCAAACAGG